UGCAUCGCUGCCAUGCCUCGGAACGCACAACGCAUCAGCUCUAAACUGUCGUACGAAGUCAAAGAGGUUGGUUUCCAAGAGCUGUACAUAUUUGUGGAGAGGUGAGUUUGUUUUUAGUUAUCUCAGCAACAUCCUGAACAAGCUACGACAGCUCUGCAGGAGUCUCAUUGCUGUUGUAGGUACAGAGAAGAGCAGACCAAAGUUCUCAAGAAGAUGGAGAAAACAGACAAACUGGAGAUGAUACAGUUUUUCAAGACUUUGAAGACGUGUCAGGAACUCAAGAAGCACAUCCAGACUGAAGGAGAAGAAAUCAGUAGCUCGCUUUGUAAGGAAAUCUUGGAAAUGCUUAAAAAAAUAGAAGAUUUGACUCUAGAACUUCUGAGGGGCGUUGUAACAAAGGUGGCGAAGGUACAGUAUCUGCUCCACUGACCUAAUGUGUACAGGACAGUAUCAUUAAAAACUGUACUGCCUGCCACACAGGUCAUUGCCAUGAACUUGUGUGUGAAUGCAUCCACUAUUCCAGACAAGUUGAAAUGCCUUUUGUUUUUGUGAACAGAAGCACCUUCAGCGUUACUUCCAGUCAGACAAACAGCAAUUUGUGCUGUUGAUUGAUUCAGUGAGUAGGAUGUUUCCACGUCUGGAGAACUGUGACCAAGUAUGACAAGUUCAAAAUCGAAACCUAAAACAUCAUCUCUUCCAGCUGUGUAUGUGUUUAGGUUCUUCUGCAAAUGCCUCUGUUGGUCUUUGUGUCUCAGACAGUGACUCUUGAAGUCUGCAAGAUCCUCGUCCAUAGUUACAUCAAGUAUCUUCUAAAAACAAAGGUGAAGAAACUGCAGCGGUGCUGGAACCCUGAUGUCGGUGAAGCAGUGAGUAAAGAUGCUGGCUGGCUUCACGCCAUCAUGUCGGACCUGGCUCCCGGCGUGCAGGAGUGGAGCAAUAAGAUGAAGAAAAUCGAGGAGGUGCUGGACUGCAGCGACAUCAACGCUCUGAAACUGAUCGUUGCUGCAAUGCAGAAGGACAGUUUAAUAGCGAGUGAGGACCUGCACAGGCUGCUGCGAUGGAAGGGUCUUUCCAAACGGGACGUCAGGGAGGUGCUGGACGCCAUUUGUGACGACUACAACCCCGGAGCAUCAUCCAGAGCCUGGUGCUCAUGUCUGGGGAGCUGAAGAGGGUCCUUCUCAGAUGAUCUCUGAUCUCAGAGAUCCUGUACGAACUCUCAGGACCUGAAGAAACACUUUUAGGUCCGACUCUGCUGCUACUGAGUAGUGUUGCCCUUCAGGUUGAGGUACACAGAAUUUUUUCAUAGACUUUAUCUAAAAAUCUGCUCGGCAUCUAUUCUGGAUCUUAUUUAUUGUUGGUGAUUGGUCCGUUUACUGCUCUUAAUGUAUUGGCUUGUACAUUUGUACAUGCUGCCUUUUUGUAGUGUUUGUACUCGUACAAAGCUGUUCGAGCACUUGGAGGUUCUUACGUCAUGUUAAUAGUUUUAAUAGGUUUUUUAUGUAUCUAUUUUUAUGUUUUUCACCACAGACAGAUCCUCUACUAUAAGAGCUGCCUUUUGUGCUGUUGAGUUUCCAUUAGUGUAAUUUACUAAAUUGUUUAAUGUUGACUUUUGGUUUUAAUGAUUUACAGUCUCUCUUUAAAGUAUAUAGUUCUGCUUUGCCCACGACCCAGAAUGGGGAAAAAAAUGGAUGAAUGGAUGAUCUGCUUAGGUGAAUUUCAUUUACUUCUGUAAUCAUUUAUAAUCCAUCCUUGGAUUUUUAGUUACUAGGAAGCAACUUACACUUUUCUUUUUCCGUCGUCAGUGUAAUGAAGAAAGCCUGAUUUUAUUAAGUGUGUGUGUGUGUCUCUAUUGUAUUGUUAACAAUCUAUCAGCAGAGGAGGGGAGGCUGGUGAAAGUGGGUAGAGCUUUUAGCUUGUUAGCUAACACUGUGGAAGUGGGAAGAUCGCAGGUUUUCUGGUUAUCUUUGUCCACAAUACUGAUUUUGAGUGCAUAAGUACACCCCAUUGAUGAGCUUAGCCGUAACCUAUAUAAAAACAAAGUCACAAUCAGGGGAUAUGCAACGUUUACUCUUUUUACUGAACAGUAUCAAAACAGCGUUACAUUGCAUUCGCUAACGCUAACAGUCUUAGCUUGUCUGCAUUCACCACCACUGCCGCCUAGUGUCCCAUUAAGUAAUUACGUCUAAACCUUUCCUACGUCAUAUGGUCAAUAUCUCAAUAACCUCUCAUUUCUGCUUUAUAUUUCUUCAAGCUCAUUUGACCGUCAACUACAGAAUGAACUAUCACCACUGACAGCAAAAUACCACGCCUCUAGCUCAUGCCUUAACACAUGUCCAUCCACAUGUACAUCCUAAUUUAAUAUACAGUUGAUCUAUCUGAGAGAUCGCCUAAACAUGACCAAAUAUGUCAGCAAACAUACAAAAACCUAAAUAUAUAUAUACUGUGUAUAUAUAAAAUACACAGUAACAACAUGGGAUCCUCUUGCUAUUUAAAAAAGACGGGAGACGUACAGCACGGUACGUUGUCGAUGCUAGGCUGAAAUUACGUCACUUUAAAACAUCGACUUUAUAAAUACAUUGCUCAAAAAAAUAAAAGGGAACGCUUAAACA
RNAcentral lists this long non-coding RNA (2609 nucleotides) under Betta splendens (Siamese fighting fish). RNAcentral's name for it is "lncRNA (ENSBSLG00000026188.1)". The record is from RNAcentral. Lineage: Eukaryota; Metazoa; Chordata; Actinopteri; Anabantiformes; Osphronemidae.